RNAcentral lists this transfer RNA (73 nucleotides) under Encephalitozoon hellem. RNAcentral describes it as "tRNA-Asn". It matches the Rfam family "tRNA". From Rfam's summary of the family: Transfer RNA (tRNA) molecules are approximately 80 nucleotides in length. Their secondary structure includes four short double-helical elements and three loops (D, anti-codon, and T loops). Lineage: Eukaryota; Fungi; Microsporidia; Unikaryonidae. RNAcentral also lists the same sequence under 1 other name. The record is from RNAcentral.
GCCUUUGUAGCGCAGUGGUUAACGCGUUCGGCUGUUAACCGAAAGAUCGAGAGUUCGAGUCUCUCCAAAGGCG